RNAcentral lists this ribosomal RNA (512 nucleotides) under Tirumala limniace. RNAcentral describes it as "partial 16S ribosomal RNA". Lineage: Eukaryota; Metazoa; Arthropoda; Insecta; Lepidoptera; Nymphalidae. The record is from RNAcentral.
UUUUUGAAAAUAAUUUAAAGUCUAAUCUGCCCACUGAUAUAUAAUAUUAAAGGGCUGCAGUAUAUUGACUGUACAAAGGUAGCAUAAUCAUUAGUCUUUUAAUUGAAGACUUGUAUGAAAGAUUUAAUGAAAUAUAAGCUGUCUCUUAUUUAUAAUUAGAAUUUAAUUUUUUAGUUAAAAAGCUAAAAUUAAUUUAAAAGACGAGAAGACCCUAUAGAGUUUAAUAAUUAAAUUAUUUAAGAUUUUAUAUAUAAAUUAUAAUUAAAAAAAAUUUAAUUAUUUUAUUGGGGUGAUAGAAAAAUUAAAUAAACUUUUUUUUUUAUAAUUACAUGAAUAAGUGAAUUUAUGAUCCAUUAUUAAUGAUUAAAAGAUAAAAUUACCUUAGGGAUAACAGCGUAAUUUUUUUUUUUAGUUCGUAUAAAAAAAAGAGAUUGCGACCUCGAUGUUGGAUUAAGAUAAAAUAUAAAUGCAAAAGUUUAAAAUUUUGAUCUGUUCGAUCAUUAAAAUCUUAC